GGCGCACGGGUGAGUAAUGCAUAGGUAACGUGCCCCUUAGUCUGGGAUAGCCACUGGAAACGGUGAAUAAUACCGGAUACUCCUUCUUACUUAAUGUAAGUUGGGAAAGUUUUUCGCUAAGGGAUCGGCCUAUGUUGUAUCAGGUAGUUGGUGAGGUAAUGGCUCACCAAGCCUAUGACACAUAGCGGGUCUGAGAGGAUGAUCCGCCACACUGGUACUGAGACACGGACCAG
RNAcentral lists this ribosomal RNA (233 nucleotides) under uncultured bacterium. RNAcentral describes it as "partial 16S ribosomal RNA". It matches the Rfam family "Bacterial small subunit ribosomal RNA", at positions 97 to 334 of the family's 1533-position model. The record is from RNAcentral.